CGGAUGGAAAUUCCGGUCACCGUAAGACCAAGGUUUCCCGGGGAAGGUUCGUCCGCCCGGGGUUAGCCGGAUCCUAAGGCGAGGCCGAAAGGCGUAGUCGAUGGACAACGGGUUAAUAUUCCCGUGCCGCCUUAACGGAGUGAUGGAGUGACGCAGUAUGCUAAGCGAGCUGGCUAUAUGCCAGUCUAAAGUCGUAGGACGCCAGGGGUUAAAUGACCUGGCAUACGUCUGAAAACCGAUGGGACCUGAAGCCUUCGGGUAACAGGGAUUCGCUGAUGCUUUGCUGACGAGAAAAGCUCCUAAACGUUGAUGCUAGGGCGUCCGUACCGCAAACCGACACAGGUGGUCGAGGCGAGUAGCCUAAGGUGCGCGAGUGAAACCACUUCAAGGAACUCGGCAAAUUAGCCCCGUAACUUAGGGAGAAGGGGUGCCGAACGGGUGCAUAGCCCGGACGGUUUCAACAAAGAGGCCGCGGCGACUGUUUAACAAAAACAUAGCUCUCUGCCAACUCGCAAGAGGAUGUAUAGGGAGUGACACGUGACCAAUGCCGAAAGGUCAAUCGGAUCCGUUAGCAGCAAUGCGAAGCGGUGAUGUGAAGCCCCGGUGAAUGUCGGCCGUAACUAUAACGGUCCUAAGGUAGCGAAAUUCCUUGUCGGGUAAGUUCCGACCUGCACGAAUCGUGUAACGAUCGCGGCACUGUCUCGAAGUGGAGCUCGGCGAAGUUGUAAUUCCGGUGAAAAUGCCGGAUACCUGCAGUAGGACGGAAAGACCCUGUGAACCUUUACUGUAAUCUGAUAUUGGCAUUCGGGUGUUAAUGUGUAGGAUAGGUGGGAGGCUGCGAAGCAGGAGCGCUAGCUCCUGUGGAGCCAACGGUGAAAUACCACCCUUUAUAACUUGAAUGUCUAACCCUUGAACCGUGAAUCCGGUCGGGAGACAGUGUCAGAGGGUCAGUUUGACUGGGGCGGUUUCCUCCAAAAUUGUAACGGAGGAGCACGAAGGUACACUCAGAGCGGUUGGCAAUCGUUCGAAGAGCGUAAGGGUAUAAGUGUGCUUAACUGCGAGACAGACACGUCGAGCAGAUACGAAAGUAGGUCCUAGUGAUCCAGCGAUGGAACGUGGAAUCGUCGUUGCUCAACGGACAAAAGGUACUCCGGGGAUAACAGGCUGAUAGCGCCCAAGCGUCCAUAGCGACGGCGC
This 1197-nucleotide ribosomal RNA is filed under the name human gut metagenome. RNAcentral's name for it is "bacterial LSU rRNA". It matches the Rfam family "Bacterial large subunit ribosomal RNA", at positions 1318 to 2514 of the family's 2925-position model. The record is from RNAcentral.